UACGAAGGGGGCUAGCGUUGCUCGGAUUGACUGGGCGUAAAGGGCGCGUAGGCGGUUCGUACAGUCAGACGUGAAAUUCCUGGGCUCAACCUGGGGGCUGCGUUUGAUACGUGCGGACUUGAGUGCGGAAGAGGGUCGUGGAAUUCCCAGUGUAGAGGUGAAAUUCGUAGAUAUUGGGAAGAACACCGGUGGCGAAGGCGGCGACCUGGUCCGAUACUGAUGCUGAGGCGCGAAAGCGUGGGGAGCGAACAGG
This 253-nucleotide ribosomal RNA is filed under the name uncultured bacterium. Its description in RNAcentral is "partial 16S ribosomal RNA". It matches the Rfam family "Bacterial small subunit ribosomal RNA", at positions 524 to 776 of the family's 1533-position model. The record is from RNAcentral.